CUUUUUCCUGGACGAGGUUGCUUUAAGUUUCUUUCCACAGCUCGCUCUGGGAUUGCCAAAAGGCUUGAUGAAAAAUACUAACUGGCUAAUUCUGGAGCACGUGCGAACUGAUUGCUGAUCUCUGUAGAGCAGGGUAGCCAGGCCUGUCCUUGUCACAGAUCUCUGUCUUAAAGGUGGAAAAAUGCACCUGUAGAUGUGGAUGUAGAUGGAGAUGUAGAGGGCAGGGCAUGGGAAACGAAGCCAGCGAGGCUUAGCUCUUCCACCCAUAGGCUCCUCUGACUUUUCUGGCCAACUACAAACCAUUCUACCUUUCUCAUUCCCCAGAUCCCUUUAAAAUAAUAUUUAUGGAGGUAUGUAUUAACGUCCAAUCAAUUCAUCCCUAAAUCAGUAAUAAUAAAGUUUUUACAUGAAGGGAUGUAUUUCUUUUCCCUGAACUGUACAGCAGGCUGCUAACCCAUCUCUUGGGGUGUGUAAAGGAAAAAAGAGCUGCUCCUAGGUAAUUAUCAGCUUGAUAAUUAUCACCUGUGAGAAAUAAAUUCAAGCUUUAAGCACCCUAUUUAGUAGAUAAGAUCAGAUUCUGUAGGAGAUAACUACAAGGAGCCUGUCUGCCAUUGUUUUUCUGUGUCUGUCAAUAUGAUCCUUAGUUUCUGCCUGAAGAAACCUAUCUUUUUAAAGAUAAACCUAUCUUUUUAAAGACGGAUUACUUGAAAAAUAGUUUCCAAAACAUACCCGAACCCUGGCAAUAUAAACCAUAGUCAUUAGAAAAAUGCAGAAAUGAUUCAAGUUGCUGUGCUCUUUCAUGUUGGCAAGAGAUUUUAAUAUAAUGUCACUAAUGUUCAAAAUAAUAGUAUUAUGAUCAAUUUCUUGUUAAUAUCAAACUAGAGAAGCAUUCUUUUAAUCUGCUUGAUUCUCAUAGUAGGAGAGGCUAGAGGUGACUUCAGCUACCCCUAGAUCUAUAAAAGGUUUGGGUCACCAGAGGUAAUAUUCUGCCUAUUCAGUGUGAUGUUUUACAGCCUGAAGCAAGCUUUAGUAUGAAAGGACAACGUAGGAUGGCCAGUUCUCACUUAAGAACAUGGUCAUACAUCUGCAUACUCUUUCUAGUGACUAGCCAGCUAAUUUUAUCUCUGAAAUUCUGCAUAUGAAACACAUUCUUGUCGUUACAUGGCAACUUAACAUCAACAAGCAACCCUUUCUGCAACAAAUCCUUAGGACUAUUUCUGAAGAAAGAACAACAGUGGAAGAGAGCCAUAUUUAAAAACUCCAGCAUUUGCAAAUAGCUAUUACAGUCUGUAAUGUUGUAACAUGUUUUUAAAAUAUCUAUUUUAGGACAUGCAUACUUAUAUCAGUCUGCUGGUCUUAGAAAGAUACCGAUUAAAUAGACAUCAUCCUGUAGACUACUUUCUAGGUUAUGGGGAUUGUAAAACAAGUUAUACAAGAGAUCAUGAAACUAUAGAACCUCAAAGGAGCCUCUGCUUUUUUUUCUGCUGGUGUAUGGAUCCCCUUUCUCCCUGGAUCACAUGAAAGAGUUCUAUUAAUGUGAAUUGGCUUAUGUUUGAGAACACUAUGCUGGAUAGCUAUGAAGUGUAAGGAAUCUGACCCAGGGAGCUGCAGGGCUGUGACACAUCAGUUCUUUACAGGGAUUCUCAGUUGCUGGAUGAGAAUAACACAAGAUAGGUCCCGUACACCGUGUGCAGUCUGCUGUCAUCGUUGUUGGUGGUAUACUGGUUACUUGAGGCAGUGAGACAAGCUCCGUGAUACACCAAUGUAACUGGAAUUUGCCCCUCUGGCUUUCAUUCCAGGGCUAUAACUAAGUGUCAGGCUGUCUCUCCCACUUGACUAACUCAGUAAGUUAAGUUUGGGAAAACUAUUCAUGACUAACACACAUAGCCAUGGCAUGGCUACAAGUGAUUGUUGCCUUAAGAAAAACACUGCGAGCCAGCACUGCUCUGCAUAUUUCAUGAGGAAUGCUUUGCUGGAGUUCAGAACAAACACUCGAAGUCUGGGAAUGCUGGUGGAUUACCUGGCAGGAGGAGAGAAGGAAAAAGCAGAAGUCUCUUGCCACCAUGCCAUUCUUCAUCCCUUCGCCUGUGUUUAGUCUUCUCUCGCCCACACAGUCAGCCAGGAGGGAAAGCAGCUCGUCUUUUCUCACUACGGAUAAGAUGGAUCUUUCAGCCCACUUGUCUGAAUGUAGUGGUUGAAGAAAGCAAGCCCAACAACAGGGUUAAUUUUACUCCAAGGGAAGCAAGCCUUAACUAUCUUCCAUAGAAGAGCAUUACAUCUGUGACCUUUGUGGAAAAAAACAACAUGCCACUUCAGCACAGAGAUGUCUUAACUCCCAAAGGAGGUGUCACUGAAAACAGAAACCCACACCAAUCGCCAAAACGACUUUUAAACAGAGCAGAUUUUCGGUUGCACUUCUGAAAAAUUCUCCUGUGGAAUACAUUAUUUCAGAGAGGAAAAAACGUAUUCCAUUUUAAUAGGUCAGGAGCUAGAUGCCUUUAAAUACAUGUAAUAAAAAUAUAAUCAAGUCAGCACAACAUGUGAAGAAAUGACUGCUGUGAUAAGAUAAAGCCUACUGCAGAAGUACUUAGGUUGAAGUUGACUGCUUGCACGGUGUUGGCAAUGUCUAAAGGGUGAUAACUGCCAGAGAUUGCUAUAAAGAAAAAUGAAUUCCCAUGAGUUUACUGGGAAUACAGAAAUUACUGGCAUAUUAAAAGUCCAAAUAGUUGAUGUGCAGUUAUGCAGAAUACUAUGGACACAACUCUACAGAGUGCUAACUGGCUCUUUUUCUUUUCUCCCUUCAAAAACCUGUUCUGCAUUUGCUUUUAAUUCCUUUGUUCCUCCAUUAAAAAUGUAUGGGAUGGACCACCAAGGCAGCAGCUGUCUGGCUAUUCUCUGCUCUGAUGCAUCAUUAAUGUAUGUAUAUGCUUCCUGCUCCUUGCAAAGACUUUUUUUUUUCCUUUUUAUUUUUAUUUAUUUAUUUAUUUUUUCUAAAAUACACUGCUAUUUGAGUGCAGGUAAAUAAUGGAAGGUUUUGAGCAUUUUUGCCUGUGCCAGGGUGACUCUCGCAGGUUGUCGUAGCAACACUGUGUCAGUGUGUCACUUAAUGAAAUAUUCCUAAUCGUUAAAAAGAAAUCCUUAAAAAGGAGUUCCUGGUGCCUAAAAGGGUCUGAUCCUGCCCAUUUUUUUCCCCAACAUCCCAGCAGAUUGGGUCCCACGUUUUUCAGAGCUCUAUUAAUAAUUGUUCCCCUGGAAAUAACUUCUCAGACUGGCACAACGUAUACUGUGAGGUGAUGGGCUGUAACCUAAUCCACUGUGCUGAAAGAGUAUCUGGUGCCAGGUUUUUACCUCCCACAGGAUUAUCUGUAAAUACGGAAAGAAAAGCUUCUGCAAAACCCAAGUAUAUAAACAUACACUUACUUCUACACAAAAGCAAAUUCCCCUCAUCUGUAUUUGCUUGCAGAGCUGGCAGCUGACUGGCAAAUAUCUCAGACGUUUUAUUUCUGGUGUUUUCAAUUAGUUUAGGACCCAUUUCAGAUUACCAGGAUUGUCUGUAUGUCAGAAACAGCUGUCACUGUGCAACAGGUCCUGUGUUGCAAUUUUCU
Anas platyrhynchos (mallard) is the source of this 3605-nucleotide non-coding RNA. NCBI's taxonomy places the organism in Eukaryota, Metazoa, Chordata, Aves, Anseriformes, Anatidae. The record is from RefSeq and is a predicted model, not a curated record.